RNAcentral lists this long non-coding RNA (1212 nucleotides) under Oreochromis niloticus (Nile tilapia). RNAcentral's name for it is "lncRNA (ENSONIG00000023481.2)". The record is from RNAcentral. Lineage: Eukaryota; Metazoa; Chordata; Actinopteri; Cichliformes; Cichlidae.
AUUCACGAUCUGAAAGUGCGCAGACUUAACGUACAUAAUCCUUGGUUGGGUUUAUUAUUUUUAUUUCACACGUAAAACACAUUUAUAGUUUUAUUCACCACUCCUGUUAGUUUUGGAUGCGCUCGGCUCCAACCAAUCAGACGCAACCGGUGUAAGCAAAGGAUGAUGGGAGAACGGAGAGACCCGUUUAUAAGAAUAAGAAAAGGAGGCGGAAUUGAUUGAUUCAAAUGCAGGUAUGUAAAAAAUACAUAUAUUUAGAGUAAUAGCUUGAUGUGUGUUUCAAAUGGGUUUUUUCAUAAGAGCUUCAAACAAACAGAGGUGACUGAUCUCGGAAACGAUUUAAUGCAUUUAAAAAUGGCUACAGCUACCGUCAGCAUGCUUGCUAGAUAGAGUACGGUAACGACUACACGUGGCUAGUGCAGCAUUAGCCAUUUAAUCCAACGAUGAUCAUUAAAUCUAUUAUAAACAUUUAAGGACUUGUGUGUUGUAAAAGAGCCUCACAUGGUGUGUAAAGCAGUUUUUGCGCUAAUAGUUCUGCUAGCUCUUUACAAACCUAUGAUGCUAACGUUAAUUGCUAACGUUAACCGGAGCACUAAGCUUCAAGCUGCUGACGAACUCCGUCAAGACAAGCAGGUAACCCUCUUCUUUUUUUUUUUUUUUUUUUUUGUAAACGUGAUCUACUGGAAACAAACGUUAAAGAGGGGACACACUUGUCUAAUUUAUUGUACGUAGUAAACGUUAUAUUAUUUGAUAUAUUUAUUAUAAAUUUUAUAUAUCUGUAUAUAUGUUUCAGUAAGUAAAUAUUCUUCAAUCUCUUUUUUCCCCCAUUUUCCGCAGAUCAGCAUCAAUGUCAACGUGAAGAACCUAGUUAUGUUGCCAGUGUCAACCCAACAAAAGUUCCCAGUUCACACACGCUUUGUCCUGCACAACAGAGAGGCAGUAACAGGAGGGUUUUUGCAGCCUUCAUCAGAGUUUCACAAGCCAAUAGUUCGGCUGUUGCCUGUGCAAAGGCCAGACCAUGUGUGUGACUGCCCAGCAGGUAACGUUGAGGUUUCACCCGGCGCAAUUGUGGCUCUUGUAACCAUAAAUGGUAAGUUGCCCUUUUGUCACACAGUACAUACACAAUAGAUGUGUUUGCAGGUUUUAGUGCAAAUUGUACAUUGCUAUCAUCAUUGUUUAUUUAUAUAGCACAUCAAAAACACACAAGGCUGA